UGAAACCGUUUAGGGGUAAACCUGAGAAACCCGAAAGGUCGAAGGAAGAAAUUCAUUCGCGUCUCGCGGCGGAAGGCGGGCGAAUUGCGAUACGGCGUAUCUAGUAUUAUGCGCCGUUCCGUUUGCCCCGUCGAGUCCGUCGCGAACGCGUGCACUUUUCUUCUGGUAGGACGUCGCGAUCCGUCGGGUGUCGGUCUACGGUGCGCGGUGGAGCCCGUCUGCAUUCGUUGCGGACGGACCCGCGCAAUCCCGGCCGGCUCGCUCGACGGUAUCAUUCAAGGUUCGGGGUCGCUGCUCUAUCUAGGAGCGUUCGGCUCGCGGCAAGCGCGCCAGUCGCGUCGGCGAUCGGACCUAGUGCCGAUUCCGACCUCUGGUGACUGUUGGCCGCGAAGUUCUCGGACAGACCGUUCGACCGAUCUGCGACGCUAUAGCUUUGGGUACUUUCAGGACCCGUCUUGAAACACGGACCAAGGAGUCUAGCAUGUACGCGAGUCAUUGGGAAUAACUAAACCUAAAGGCGUAAUGAAAGUGAAGGUCUUCCUCGCGAAGACCGAGGGAAGAAGGGCGUCCGAUUUCGGUCGGCGUCUCGCAUUCCCGGGGCGUCUCGUUCUCAUCGCGAGAUGAGGCGCACCAAGAGCGUACACGCUGGGACCCGAAAGAUGGUGAACUAUGCCUGGUCAGGACGAA
RNAcentral lists this ribosomal RNA (687 nucleotides) under Phrixosoma sp. UFIFAS UFFE 14129. RNAcentral describes it as "partial large subunit ribosomal RNA". It matches the Rfam family "Eukaryotic large subunit ribosomal RNA", at positions 400 to 850 of the family's 3401-position model. Lineage: Eukaryota; Metazoa; Arthropoda; Insecta; Coleoptera; Curculionidae. The record is from RNAcentral.